Molecule: ribosomal RNA, 404 nt
Filed under: uncultured bacterium
Lineage: Bacteria
Description: bacterial SSU rRNA
Rfam family: Bacterial small subunit ribosomal RNA
Source: RNAcentral
GGGGAAUAUUGCACAAUGGGCGCAAGCCUGAUGCAGCGACGCCGCGUGAGGGAUGGAGGCCUUCGGGUUGUAAACCUCUUUCAGCAGGGAAGAAGCGCAAGUGACGGUACCUGCAGAAGAAGCGCCGGCUAACUACGUGACAGCAGCCGCGGUAAUACGUAGGGCGCAAGCGUUGUCCGGAAUUAUUGGGCGUAAAGAGCUCGUAGGCGGUUUGUCGCGUCUGCUGUGAAAACCUAAGGCUCAACCUUGGGCUUGCAGUGGGUACGGGCAGACUAGAGUGCGGUAGGGGUGACUGGAAUUCCUGGUGUAGCGGUGGAAUGCGCAGAUAUCAGGAGGAACACCGAUGGCGAAGGCAGGUCUCUGGGCCAUUACUGACGCUGAGGAGCGAAAGCGUGGGGAGCGAA